GUGGAUCCUCUCCAACAAUGCCUGUAGACUAUCAUUACAAUAUUUACAUGUCAAGUCUGUAGUCUCAGCCACUGUACAUUGGUUAGAGCUAUACACUUUGAGGUCAUACAUGGACUGUAUAGUCAGUGCUACAAUGCCUUCAUUUCAACCCAAUUAAAGUACAGGUCCACCGUUGCAUGUACUUGCAGUUGUUCCUAAGCUGUUCCAAGUGAAGACCAAAGAUUGUUCUACUCUCCAUGGGUGAUGGCUCAUAGUUUGGAUCCAUCUACAACACAGCUCUAAUCAGUAUGGAGACAAAAGUUGAAGGAACAAGGAGAAUAAAAUUAUCUUAUUUUAUUACCUGCAAA
Molecule: long non-coding RNA, 347 nt
Organism: Actinia tenebrosa (Australian red waratah sea anemone)
Lineage: Eukaryota; Metazoa; Cnidaria; Anthozoa; Actiniaria; Actiniidae
Source: RefSeq, a predicted model, not a curated record